RNAcentral lists this ribosomal RNA (917 nucleotides) under uncultured bacterium. RNAcentral's name for it is "bacterial SSU rRNA". It matches the Rfam family "Bacterial small subunit ribosomal RNA", at positions 576 to 1499 of the family's 1533-position model. The record is from RNAcentral.
UGUUUUAAUAAGUCUGUUGUUAAAGACUAGGGUUAACCCUAGAAAAGCAAUGGAAAACUACUAGACUAGAGUAUGGCAGGGGUAGANGGGAAUUUCUAGUGUAGCGGUGAAAUGCGUAGAUAUUAGAAAGAACACCGGUGGCGAAAGCGCUCUACUGGACCAUUACUGACACUCAGAGGCGAAAGCUAGGGUAGCAAAAGAGAUUAGAUACCCCUGUAGUCCUAGCCGUAAACGAUGGAUACUACAUGUUGUGCAUUAUGUACAGUAUGGUAGCUAACGCGUUAAGUAUCCCGCCUGGGGAGUACGCUCGCAAGGGUGAAACUCAAAGGAAUUGACGGGGGCCCGCACAAGCGGUGGAGCAUGUGGUUUAAUUCGAUGCAACGCGAAGAACCUUACCAGGACUUGACAUACUACAAAUUCUUUUGAGAAAAAGAAGUGCCUUCGGGAAUGUAGAUACAGGUGGUGCAUGGCUGUCGUCAGCUCGUGUCGUGAGAUGUUGGGUUAAGUCCCGCAACGAGCGCAACCCUUAUUUUUAGUUACCAAUUCGUUGGGUUCUCUAGAAAGACUGCCGGUGACAAACCGGAGGAAGGUGAGGAUGACGUCAAGUCAGCAUGCCCCUUAUGUCCUGGGCUACACACGUGCUACAAUGGUUAAGACAAAGAGUCGCGAGCUCGUGAGAGUCAGCUAAUCUCAUAAACUUAGCCCAAGUUCAGAUUGUAGGCUGCAACUCGCCUACAUGAAGUUGGAAUCGCUAGUAAUCGCUGGUCAGCCAUACAGCGGUGAAUCCGUUCCCGGGCCUUGUACACACCGCCCGUCACACCAUGGGAGCUGGUCAUACCCGAAACCGUUUGCUUAACCGUUUGGAGAGCGACGUCUAAGGUAGGGCUAGUGACUGGGGUGAAGUCGUAACAAGGUAA